AGUGAACGCUGGCGGUAGGCCUAACACAUGCAAGUCGAACGGCAGCACAGUAAUAGCUUGUUCUUACGGGUGGCGAGUGGCGGACGGGUGAUGAAUACAUCGGAAUCUACUUUUUCUUGGGGGAGAACGUAGGGAAACUUACGCCAAUACCGCAUACGACCUACGGGUGAAAGCAGGGGAUCUUCCGACCUUGCGCGAUUGAAUGAGCCGAUGUCGGAUUAGCUAGUUGGCGGGGUAAAGGCCCACCAAGGCGACGAUCCGUAGCUGGUCUGAGAGGAUGAUCAGCCACACUGGAACUGAGACACGGUCCAGACUCCUACGGGAGGCAGCAGUGGGGAAUAUUGGACAAUGGGCGCAAGCCUGAUCCAGCCAUGCCGCGUGUGUGAAGAAGGCCUUCGGGUUGUAAAGCCCUUUUGUUGGGAAAGAAAAGCAGCAGGUUAAUACCUCGCUGUUCUGACGGUACCAAAAGAAUAAGCACCGGCUAACUUCGUG
Molecule: ribosomal RNA, 492 nt
Filed under: uncultured bacterium
Lineage: Bacteria
Description: partial 16S ribosomal RNA
Rfam family: Bacterial small subunit ribosomal RNA
Source: RNAcentral